AGCGAACGCUGGCGGCAGGCCUAACACAUGCAAGUCGAACGAACUCUUCGGAGUUAGUGGCGGACGGGGGAGUAACACGUGGGAACGUGCCUUUAGGUUCGGAAUAACUCAGGGAAACUUGUGCUAAUACCGAAUGUGCCCUUCGGGGGAAAGAUUUAUCGCCUUUAGAGCGGCCCGCGUCUGAUUAGCUAGUUGGUGAGGUAAAGGCUCACCAAGGCGACGAUCAGUAGCUGGUCUGAGAGGAUGAUCAGCCACAUUGGGACUGAGACACGGCCCAAACUCCUACGGGAGGCAGCAGUGGGGAAUCUUGCGCAAUGGGCGAAAGCCUGACGCAGCCAUGCCGCGUGAAUGAUGAAGGUCUUAGGAUUGUAAAAUUCUUUCACCGGGGACGAUAAUGACGGUACCCGGAGAAGAAGCCCCGGCUAACUUCGUG
This 433-nucleotide ribosomal RNA is filed under the name uncultured bacterium. RNAcentral's name for it is "partial 16S ribosomal RNA". It matches the Rfam family "Bacterial small subunit ribosomal RNA", at positions 29 to 507 of the family's 1533-position model. The record is from RNAcentral.